This 253-nucleotide ribosomal RNA is filed under the name uncultured bacterium. RNAcentral's name for it is "partial 16S ribosomal RNA". It matches the Rfam family "Bacterial small subunit ribosomal RNA", at positions 524 to 776 of the family's 1533-position model. The record is from RNAcentral.
UACGUAGGGGGCUAGCGUUGUCCGGAAUCAUUGGGCGUAAAGCGCGCGUAGGCGGCCAGAUAAGUCCGGUGUGAAAGUCACAGGCUCAACCUGUGAAUGCCGCUGGAAACUGUCUGGCUAGAGUCCGGAAGGGGCGAGUGGAAUUCCUGGUGUAGCGGUGAAAUGCGCAGAUAUCAGGAGGAACACCAAUGGCGAAGGCAGCUCGCUGGGGCGGUACUGACGCUGAGGCGCGAAAGCGUGGGGAGCGAACAGG